GUUGAAACAUUAGUUCCUGUAUGAUCAUUGAAGUUAAGCAAUAUUAAGCCUGGUCAGUACCUAGAUGGGUGACCGCUUGGAAAUACCAGGUGCUGUAAG
Molecule: ribosomal RNA, 99 nt
Filed under: Acanthosepion pharaonis
Lineage: Eukaryota; Metazoa; Mollusca; Cephalopoda; Sepiida; Sepiidae
Source: RNAcentral